CCGUUAUCCGGAUCGAGGACAGUGUAUGGUGGGUAGUUUGACUGGGGCGGUCUCCUCCUAAAGAGUAACGGAGGAGUACGAAGGUGCGCUCAGACCGGUCGGAAAUCGGUCGUAGAGUAUAAAGGCAAAAGCGCGCUUGACUGCGAUACAGACACGUCGAGCAGGUACGAAAGUAGGUCUUAGUGAUCCGUUGGUUCUGUAUGGAA
Molecule: ribosomal RNA, 206 nt
Filed under: Ditylum brightwellii
Lineage: Eukaryota; Bacillariophyta; Thalassiosirophyceae; Lithodesmiales; Lithodesmiaceae
Description: partial Bacterial large subunit ribosomal RNA
Rfam family: Bacterial large subunit ribosomal RNA
Source: RNAcentral